This 365-nucleotide long non-coding RNA is filed under the name Pan troglodytes (chimpanzee). RNAcentral describes it as "long non-coding RNA NONPTRT011309". Lineage: Eukaryota; Metazoa; Chordata; Mammalia; Primates; Hominidae. The record is from RNAcentral.
GGGUCCUAAGUUUCCUUUGUUACAUAUUCUAUGUUUUGUAUUUCAAUGACUGCCAUUAAAAAUAAUAGCCUCUUUUCAUAAGUACCAUUCAACCAAAGUAUAAACAAUCACAAAUAUCCUUCAUCUAGAAAUAAAUGAACAAAACCCAGGCUUCCCUUGUAUCUAUUCACAUAAACCUACAGAAUCCUCACAUCUGCUUUCUAUGUCCUUACCUUAUAUCUAGCCUGUGGUCCCCAUAUUCAAUGGCUGAGUCCUUGUUCUUGAUCUCAUUAAAGCGAUUAUGGAAUUAAUCACGUGAGAGUUUAUAGUGGUUGAGCUAGUUUUUUCUGACAAACUUUUAGUUGGUGCUUGGUUUGGGUAACAAG